UUUGCCCUAAUCCACAGCACGCCCCCCUCCCUCUCCGCUGCGUCGCGAAUACUCUGUUCCGCCCCCGCGGCCUCUCGAACGCUCCCCAAACCCUAGCUAGGCGUGGUUCCCAUGUCGGGGUCGUACGGAUCCGACGACUACCGCGGCGGCGGCGGAGGUGGCUAUGGCGGCCGAGGUGGCGGCGGCGGAGGCGGUCGUGGGCGAGGAGGCCCCGGAGGAUAUGGCGGCAGCGGUGGCGGCGGUGGGGCAUAUGGAGGUGGCAGUGGCGGAGGGUACGGCGGUGGGGGGAGAGGUGGUGGUGGAGGGGGAGGAGGCUAUGGCGGCGGUGGCGGAGGCGGCGGGAGAGGUGGCGGGCGCGGGGGAGGACGCGAUGGCGACUGGGUUUGCCCUGACGCGAGCUGUGGUAACGUGAACUUUGCAAGGAGGACUGAGUGCAAUAAGUGUGGGGCACAGUGCCCUAGUGGUGGUGGCGGUGGUGGUGGCGGUGGCGGUGGGUACGAUAGGUCUGGUGGAGGAGGUGGAGGGUACAAUCGUGGUGGUGGUGAUCAUGGUUCAGGAGGUGGUGGUGGCUACAGCAGAGGUGAUGGGGAUUACAGCUCUGGUGGUCGUGGUGGUAGUGCUGGUGGAGGAAGAGGAGGGUAUAAUCGUGAUGGUGGUAGCGGUCGUGGUUUUGACGACUACCGUGCUGGCGGUGGUUACGGUGGAAGAGACCAAGAUAACAAUCAAAGGGGAGAUAAAGAUUCCUUUGGUGACGGUGGCUAUGGACAGGCGCCCCCUAAAGGUCCUCCAUCCUAUGGCGGGCCUGCAGGUGACUAUGCACCGCCCCCAAGUUCCUAUGGAGGCAACAAUGUGUACAGCUCGGAUUCUGCAGUGCCUCCCCCUAAUAGCUAUGGAGGUGGUCGAGGAUCUUACCCACCAAGCUAUGGUGCCCCACCUCCAAACCCAUAUAGUGGUGGUGCACCUGGGGGUGCAGGAGGCCUGCCGCCUACAUAUGAUGGUGGGUAUGGUGGUCGGUCUAUGCCUGGGGGUGGAGGCACAGGUGGUGCACCGCCACCUUAUCAAGGUGGCGGCGGCGGUGGUUACAGCAACAAUGCUACCCCUGAACCAGCUACGAAGGUUAAGCAGUGUGAUGCAAACUGUGAUGAUUCCUGUGACAAUCCAAGGAUAUACAUAUCAAACCUGCCUCCUGAUGUGACUGUUGAGGAACUGCAAGAGCUUUUUGGAGGAAUUGGCCAGGUUGGAAGGAUCAAGCAAAAACGUGGCUACAAAGACCAGUGGCCCUGGAACAUAAAACUCUACACUGAUGAUUCUGGAAAACCCAAAGGAGAUGCUUGCCUUGCUUAUGAAGAUCCUUCUGCUGCUCAUGCAGCAGGCGGAUUCUACAACAAUUAUGAAAUGAGAGGCCAUAAAAUAAGUGUUGUGAUGGCCGAGAAAUCAGCACCUAGAGCUCCUACAUCUGGUCAUGGGGGUGGACGUGGUGGCGGCUAUGGUGGGGAUAGACGCAGGGACGGAGGAGGCCAUGGACCUAAUAGAAACCAGGGUGGUGGUUCGCGUGCAAGGCCAUACUGAAAACAUUAAUAAUUACUAAGAUUAUCAUCUGUGAGAAACCAUUUCUAUUCAUGUUCUCCGGACUUGUACUCAUACAGGAGCUUAAGAACAGCUGGAUAAGCUCCAAAUGCUGGUAGGUUUGAGAUGUUAUUUCAGCCGGUGGAUCAGUACUGUAAGCUUGGAUUUUGCUGUGGAGAACAGGUAGGGGGAUUUUGAUCAAACCUAUGGGCUGCAAAUUGCAAUGUGCUUAUGUGGAUAUUAUCUGCAUGUACUAGCUUCUCCUGUUGGCACAUUUAGUCACAAGUAUGUUCGAUGAACAUGUAGGGCGAUUUUGAUCUAUGAGCUGCAAAUUGCAAUGUGCUUAUGUGGAUAUUAUCUGCAUAUACUAGCUUCUCCUUUUGGCACAUUUAGUCCCAAGUACGUCGGAUGUUUCUCCUUUUGGCACAUUUAGUCCCAAGUAAGCUCGAUGUCACACCGAGUGAGAAUAUCGGCAUAGGCAAAUGGCAAAUUAUGAUGCCAGGAAGCCAGCCUCUGUUACAGUAGCACCAUGUCUUCUCCUCUCGUUCCAUGACUGCGUCCGUUUGUUUGUCUGGCUAACGUAGUCCCAUGAAUUAUUGAAUGUUGCUGUUAUAAAGUUCA
RNA transcript from Brachypodium distachyon (stiff brome), 2187 nucleotides. It is a transcript of the gene named transcription initiation factor TFIID subunit 15b, with no coding region annotated. NCBI's taxonomy places the organism in Eukaryota, Viridiplantae, Streptophyta, Magnoliopsida, Poales, Poaceae. The record is from RefSeq and is a predicted model, not a curated record. The transcript is spliced from 8 exons.